GUUCUUUUAGUGUAAAUACAUAUAACAUAUUACAUUUUCGUUGUAAAGAUAAAGAAACUUUAAAGAAUA
This 69-nucleotide transfer RNA is filed under the name Neotrypaea thermophila. Its description in RNAcentral is "tRNA-Glu". The record is from RNAcentral. Lineage: Eukaryota; Metazoa; Arthropoda; Malacostraca; Decapoda; Callianassidae.